CCUACGGGAGGCAGCAGUGAGGAAUAUUGGUCAAUGGACGCAAGUCUGAACCAGCCAUGCCGCGUGAAUGAAGACUGCCCUAUGGGUUGUAAACUUCUUUUGUAUGGGGGUAGACUCUUCCACGUGUAGGAUUUUGUAUGUACCAUAUUAAUAAGGAUCGGCUAACUCCGUGCCAGCAGCCGCGGUAAUACGGUGGAUCCGAGCGUUAUCCGGAUUUAUUGGGUUUAAAGUGAGCGUAGGCGGAUUGUUAAGUCAGUUGUGAAAUUGUGCGGCUCAACCUGAGAAUUGCAGUUGAUACUGGCAGGCUAGAGUACAGUAGAGGUGGGCGGAAUUCGUGGUGUAGCGGUGAAAUGCUUAGAGAUCACGAAGAAUUCCGAUUGCGAAGGCAGCUCCCUGGACUACAACUGACGCUGAGGUUCGAAAGUGUGGGGAGCAAACAGGAUUAGAUACCCUUGUAGUC
RNAcentral lists this ribosomal RNA (460 nucleotides) under uncultured bacterium. RNAcentral describes it as "partial 16S ribosomal RNA". It matches the Rfam family "Bacterial small subunit ribosomal RNA", at positions 338 to 795 of the family's 1533-position model. The record is from RNAcentral.